GAUAAACGCUGGCGGCGUGCAUGAGGCAUGCAAGUCGAACGGGACGAUCGAGGCUUGCUUCGAUCGUUAGUGGCGGACGGCUGAGUAACGCGUAGGUGACCUGCCCCGAAGUGGGGAAUAACUGCCCGAAAGGGUGGCUAAUACCGCAUGUGGUGGUGUGUUCAAUCACACCAGUAAAGCCGCAAGGCGCUUCGGGAGGGGCCUGCGUCCGAUUAGCUCGUUGGUGGGGAACGGCUCACCAAGGCGACGAUCGGUAGGUGGUCUGAGAGGACGAUCACCCAGACUGGGACUGAGACACGGCCCAGACUCCUACGGGAGGCAGCAGUCGGGAAUUUUGCGC
RNAcentral lists this ribosomal RNA (340 nucleotides) under uncultured bacterium. RNAcentral's name for it is "bacterial SSU rRNA". It matches the Rfam family "Bacterial small subunit ribosomal RNA", at positions 28 to 369 of the family's 1533-position model. The record is from RNAcentral.